This 510-nucleotide ribosomal RNA is filed under the name uncultured bacterium. Its description in RNAcentral is "partial 16S ribosomal RNA". It matches the Rfam family "Bacterial small subunit ribosomal RNA", at positions 28 to 507 of the family's 1533-position model. The record is from RNAcentral.
GACGAACGCUGGCGGCGUGCUUAACACAUGCAAGUCGAACGAAGAGCGAUGGAAGCUUGCUUCUCUCAAUCUUAGUGGCGAACGGGUGAGUAACGCGUAAUCAACCUGCCCUUCAGAGGGGGACAACAGUUGGAAACGACUGCUAAUACCGCAUACGAUCUAAUCUCGGCAUCGAGGAUAGAUGAAAGGUGGCCUCUACAUGUAAGCUAUCACUGAAGGAGGGGAUUGCGUCUGAUUAGCUAGUUGGAGGGGUAACGGCCCACCAAGGCGAUGAUCAGUAGCCGGUCUGAGAGGAGGAACGGCCACAUUGGGACUGAGACACGGCCCAGACUCCUACGGGAGGCAGCAGUGGGGAAUCUUCCGCAAUGGACGAAAGUCUGACGGAGCAACGCCGCGUGAGCGAUGACGGCCUUCGGGUUGUAAAGCUCUGUUAAUCGGGACGAAAGGCCUUCUUGCGAAUAGUGAGAAGGAUUGACGGUACCGGAAUAGAAAGCCACGGCUAACUACGUG